RNAcentral lists this ribosomal RNA (98 nucleotides) under Yersinia enterocolitica. RNAcentral also lists the same sequence under 1 other name. The record is from RNAcentral. Lineage: Bacteria; Pseudomonadati; Pseudomonadota; Gammaproteobacteria; Enterobacterales; Yersiniaceae.
GUGGACCCACCUGAAUCCAUGCCGAACUCAGAAGUGAAACGCCGUAGCGCCGAUGGUAGUGUGGGGUCUCCCCAUGCGAGAGUAGGACACUGCCAGGC